AGCUCCAAUAGCGUAUAUUAAAGUUGCUGCAGUUAAAAAGCUCGUAGUUGCAUUUCCGAGGCAAGGGAUUAGUCCGACCUUUGGUGGGUAUUUAAUCCUCUUGCCUCGUCCUUGAGUGGUGCUUCUUGGUAUUAAGUUAUCGAGGAGAUAGCCGCUCAUCGUUUACUGUGAGAAAAUUAGAGUGUUCAAAGCAGGCUUAUGCCGUUGAAUAUAUUAGCAUGGAAUAAUAAGAUAGGACCUCGGUACUAUUUUGUUGGUUUGAGAACCAAGGUAAUGAUGAAUAGGGACAGUUGGGAGUAUUCGUAUUCAGUUGUCAGAGGUGAAAUUCUUAGAUUUACGGAAGACGAACUACUGCGAAAGUAUUUACCAAGGAUGUUUUCA
This 381-nucleotide ribosomal RNA is filed under the name uncultured marine Chaetocerotaceae. RNAcentral describes it as "SSU rRNA". It matches the Rfam family "Eukaryotic small subunit ribosomal RNA", at positions 587 to 972 of the family's 1831-position model. Lineage: Eukaryota; Bacillariophyta; Thalassiosirophyceae; Chaetocerotales; Chaetocerotaceae. The record is from RNAcentral.